RNAcentral lists this ribosomal RNA (468 nucleotides) under uncultured bacterium. Its description in RNAcentral is "partial 16S ribosomal RNA". It matches the Rfam family "Bacterial small subunit ribosomal RNA", at positions 28 to 507 of the family's 1533-position model. The record is from RNAcentral.
GACGAACGCUGGCGGCGUGCUUAACACAUGCAAGUCGAACGGUGAAGCUCCAGCUUGCUGGAGUGGAUCAGUGGCGAACGGGUGAGUAACACGUGAGCAACCUGCCCCUGACUCUGGAAUAAGCGCUGGAAACGGCGUCUAAUACUGGAUACGAGAAGGGUCCGCAUGGGCACUUUCUGGAAAGUUUUUCGGUUGGGGAUGGGCUCGCGGCCUAUCAGCUUGUUGGUGAGGUAAUGGCUCACCAAGGCGACGACGGGUAGCCGGCCUGAGAGGGCGACCGGCCACACUGGGACUGAGACACGGCCCAGACUCCUACGGGAGGCAGCAGUGCGGAAUAUUGCACAAUGGGCGAAAGCCUGAUGCAGCGACGCCGCGUGAGGGAUGACGGCCUUCGGGUUGUAAACCUCUUUCAGCAGGGAAGAAGCGAAAGUGACGGUACCUGCAGAAGAAGCACCGGCUAACUACGUG